AGCUCCACCCCCACCUCUUACAAAGUAAUUCUUUUCUAGUUUUCUGUUUAAUAACAUGCAAUAACACUCUAGCACAAAAAGAUCCUGUUCAGUCACACAUUUUGCACACCCUAGGAGAACCUUCUUUUGAGUUGGAAAGACUGGAAAACUGCUAUGCACAUGAUUUGCCAGCAAAUCAAUAGCUGGAGCCUCUCUCUACUCCCCUCUUUUCUUUUUUCACACGCACAUGCACGCAUAACCCUGUGGUAUUUACCAUCUGGUCUCGGAAUUUAGUAAUUAUUUUCAGUAAUGUUGGCCAAUAUUUGAUUACUUGUUCUGCAUUUCAGAUACCAACUUAUUAGGGUAAAUG
Molecule: unclassified non-coding RNA, 349 nt
Filed under: Hevea brasiliensis (rubber tree)
Lineage: Eukaryota; Viridiplantae; Streptophyta; Magnoliopsida; Malpighiales; Euphorbiaceae
Source: RNAcentral